CAGCCGCCGCGGUAAUACGUAGGUGGCAAGCGUUGUCCGGAAUUAUUGGGCGUAAAGGGCUCGCAGGCGGUUUCUUAAGUCUGAUGUGAAAGCCCCCGGCUCAACCGGGGAGGGUCAUUGGAAACUGGGAAACUUGAGUGCAGAAGAGGAGAGUGGAAUUCCACGUGUAGCGGUGAAAUGCGUAGAGAUGUGGAGGAACACCAGUGGCGAAGGCGACUCUCUGGUCUGUAACUGACGCUGAGGAGCGAAAGCGUGGGGAGCGAGCAGGAUUAGAUACCCGCGUAGUCCCUGUCUCUUAUAC
RNAcentral lists this ribosomal RNA (301 nucleotides) under uncultured bacterium. RNAcentral describes it as "partial 16S ribosomal RNA". It matches the Rfam family "Bacterial small subunit ribosomal RNA", at positions 509 to 807 of the family's 1533-position model. The record is from RNAcentral.